UACAGAGAGUGCAAACGUUGUUCGGAAUUACUGGGCUUGAAGCGCACGUAGGCGGCGUUGUAAGUGUCGGGUGAAAUCCCACGGCUCACCCGUGGAACUGCCCGGCAUACUGCGAUGCUAGAGUGUGGUAGGGGAGAGCGGAACUCCUGGUGGAGCGGUGAAAUGCGUAGAUAUCAGGAAGAACACCAAUGGCGAAGGCAGCUCUCUGGGACGGUACUGACGCUGAGACGCGAAAGCGUGGGGAGCGAACAGG
RNAcentral lists this ribosomal RNA (253 nucleotides) under uncultured bacterium. Its description in RNAcentral is "partial 16S ribosomal RNA". It matches the Rfam family "Bacterial small subunit ribosomal RNA", at positions 524 to 776 of the family's 1533-position model. The record is from RNAcentral.